CAAUAGCGUAUAUUUAAGUUGUUGCAGUUAAAAAGCUCGUAGUUGAAUUUCGGAUGGGACUUGCCGGUCCGUCGUUUCGAUGUGCACUGGCCAGUCCUAUCUUGUUGUCGGGGACUAGCUCCUGGGCUUCACUGUCCGGGACUAGGAGCUGACGAGGUUACUUUGAGUAAAUUAGAGUGUUCAAAGCAAGCCUACGCUCUGAAUACAUUAGCAUGGAAUAACACGAUAGGACUCUGGCUUAUCUUGUUGGUCUGUGAGACCAGAGUAAUGAUUAAGAGGGACAGUCGGGGGCAUUCGUAUUUCAUUGUCAGAGGUGAAAUUCUUGGAUUUAUGAAAGACGAACUUCUGCGAAAGCAUUUGUCAAGGAUGUUUUCAUUA
This 378-nucleotide ribosomal RNA is filed under the name uncultured eukaryote. RNAcentral describes it as "partial 18S ribosomal RNA". It matches the Rfam family "Eukaryotic small subunit ribosomal RNA", at positions 592 to 975 of the family's 1831-position model. The record is from RNAcentral.